Molecule: ribosomal RNA, 497 nt
Filed under: uncultured bacterium
Lineage: Bacteria
Description: partial 16S ribosomal RNA
Rfam family: Bacterial small subunit ribosomal RNA
Source: RNAcentral
GAUGAACGCUGGCGGCGUGCCUAAUACAUGCAAGUCGAGCGAACAGACGAGGAGCUUGCUCCUCUGACGUUAGCGGCGGACGGGUGAGUAACACGUGGAUAACCUACCUAUAAGACUGGGAUAACUUCGGGAAACCGGAGCUAAUACCGGAUAAUAUAUUGAACCGCAUGGUUCAAUAGUGAAAGACGGUUUUGCUGUCACUUAUAGAUGGAUCCGCGCCGCAUUAGCUAGUUGGUAAGGUAACGGCUUACCAAGGCAACGAUGCGUAGCCGACCUGAGAGGGUGAUCGGCCACCCUGGAACUGAGACACGGUCCAGACUCCUACGGGAGGCCGCAGUAGGGAAUCUUCCGCAAUGGGCGAGAGCCUGACGGAGCAACGCCGCGUGAGUGAUGAAGGUCUUCGGAUCGUAAAACUCUGUUAUUAGGGAAGAACAAAUGUGUAAGUAACUAUGCACGUAUUGACGGUACCUAAUCAGAAAGCCACGGCUAACUACGUG